Molecule: ribosomal RNA, 463 nt
Filed under: uncultured bacterium
Lineage: Bacteria
Description: partial 16S ribosomal RNA
Rfam family: Bacterial small subunit ribosomal RNA
Source: RNAcentral
GACGAACGCUGGCGGCGUGCUUAACACAUGCAAGUCGAACGGAAAGGCCUUUUCGGGGGUACUCGAGUGGCGAACGGGUGAGUAACACGUGGUUGAUCUGCCCUGUACUCUGGGAUAAGCCUGGGAAACUGGGUCUAAUACCGGAUAGGACCGCACUUUAGUGUGUGUGGUGGAAAGUUUUUUCGGUGUAGGAUGAGCCCGCGGCCUAUCAGCUUGGUGGUGGGGUAAUGGCCUACCAAGGCGGCGACGGGUAGCCGGACUGAGAGGUUGGUCGGCCACAUUGGGACUGAGAUACGGACCAGACUCCUACGGGAGGCAGAAGUGGGGAUGAGUGAACAAGGGGCGCAGGCCUGAGGCAGAGACGCCGCUGGGGGGAGGACGGCCAUCGGCUUGUGAACUCCUUUCGCCAGGGACGAAGCGUUUUGUGACGGUACCUGGAGAAGAAGCACCGGCUAACUACGUG